CCGCCCCCUUUUUUCCCUAAUCCCUUGAGCCCUUUUCAUCAUCCUGAUGAAUCGCGUCCGCCCACAUUUUUUCCCUAAUCCCUUUAAUCCUAUUCAUCAUCCUGAUGAAUCGCGUCCUGCGAUGUCCUUCCUUCCCAUCGUCCUUGACGGGCGUGUCUGUCCGUCGACAC
This 170-nucleotide small RNA is filed under the name uncultured bacterium. RNAcentral's name for it is "RsmZ". The record is from RNAcentral.